GAUGAACGCUAGCGGGAGGCUUAAUACAUGCAAGUCGAACGGUAACAGGGGACUUCGGUCCUGCUGACGAGUGGCGCACGGGUGAGUAACGCGUACACGACCUACCUUUAAGAGGGGGAUAGCCUCGGGAAACUGAGAAUAAUACCCCAUGUGAUUAAUUUUUCUAAAAUGGUUAAUUAAAGACUUCGGUUGCUUAAAGAUGGGUGUGCGUACUAUUAGGUAGUUGGUAGGGUAACGGCCUACCAAGCCGACGAUAGUUAGGGGGCGUGAGAGCGUGAUCCCCCACACGGGUACUGAGACACGGACCCGACUCCUACGGGAGGCAGCAGUAAGGAAUAUUGGACAAUGGGCGCAAGCCUGAUCCAGCCAUCCCGCGUGGAGGAUGACGGCCCUCUGGGUUGUAAACUCCUUUUAUAUAAGAAGAAUAGCCCCGAUUUAUCGGGGUAUGACGGUACUAUAUGAAUAAGCACCGGCUAACUCCG
This 482-nucleotide ribosomal RNA is filed under the name uncultured Saprospiraceae bacterium. RNAcentral describes it as "bacterial SSU rRNA". It matches the Rfam family "Bacterial small subunit ribosomal RNA", at positions 28 to 505 of the family's 1533-position model. Lineage: Bacteria; Pseudomonadati; Bacteroidota; Saprospiria; Saprospirales; Saprospiraceae. The record is from RNAcentral.